CUACGGGGGGCUGCAGUGGGGAAUAUUGGGCAAUGGGGGAAACCCUGACCCAGCAACGCCGCGUGAAGGAUGAAGGCUUUCGGGUUGUAAACUUCUUUGAUCGGGGAAGAACCAAGACGGUACCCGAGGAACAAGCCACGGCUAACUACGUGCCAGCAGCCGCGGUAAUACGUAGGUGGCAAGCGUUGUCCGGAAUUACUGGGUGUAAAGGGCGCGUAGGCGGGAAGGCAAGUCAGAAGUGAAAUCCCGGGGCUCAACCCCGGAACUGCUUCUGAAACUGUUUUUCUUGAGUGUCGGGAGGAAAGUGGAAUUCACAGUGUAGCGGUGAAAUGCGUAGAGAUUGGGAGGAACACCAGUGGCGAAGGCGGCUUUCUGGACGAUAACUGACGCUGAGGCGCGAAAGCGUGGGGAGCAAACAGGAUUAGAUACCCCCGUAGUC
Molecule: ribosomal RNA, 439 nt
Filed under: uncultured bacterium
Lineage: Bacteria
Description: partial 16S ribosomal RNA
Rfam family: Bacterial small subunit ribosomal RNA
Source: RNAcentral